Molecule: ribosomal RNA, 467 nt
Filed under: uncultured bacterium
Lineage: Bacteria
Description: partial 16S ribosomal RNA
Rfam family: Bacterial small subunit ribosomal RNA
Source: RNAcentral
GACGAACGCUGGCGGCGUGCUUAACACAUGCAAGUCGAACGGUGAAGCAGAGCUUGCUCUGUGGAUCAGUGGCGAACGGGUGAGUAACACGUGAGUAACCUGCCCUUGACUCUGGGAUAAGCGUUGGAAACGACGUCUAAUACCGGAUACGAGCUGAGCCCGCAUGGUCAUCAGUUGGAAAGAUUUGUUGGUCAAGGAUGGACUCGCGGCCUAUCAGCUUGUUGGUGAGGUAAUGGCUCACCAAGGCGACGACGGGUAGCCGGCCUGAGAGGGUGACCGGCCACACUGGGACUGAGACACGGCCCAGACUCCUACGGGAGGCAGCAGUGGGGAAUAUUGCACAAUGGGCGCAAGCCUGAUGCAGCAACGCCGCGUGAGGGAUGACGGCCUUCGGGUUGUAAACCUCUUUUAGUAGGGAAGAAGCGAAAGUGACGGUACCUGCAGAAAAAGCACCGGCUAACUACGUG